Long non-coding RNA from Hyalella azteca, 196 nucleotides. RefSeq lists it as uncharacterized. Lineage: Eukaryota; Metazoa; Arthropoda; Malacostraca; Amphipoda; Hyalellidae. The transcript is spliced from 3 exons. The record is from RefSeq and is a predicted model, not a curated record.
GCUGCGUCUGCUGCAGUAGUGGCAGGUGUGAGCGACGUGUGCGGACGUCUGGUGAGCGCCAUGCUCACGCAGGUGUCGCCCCCAGUCAUCCUAACGCGAGUGCUGCGCCAGCCCUCAGCCUGUCAGGCUGACCACGUCUUCACGCUAAUGCAGGGUCUGGCCGUGAGGUACGGGUACCUGAUAUUUGCUUGCCUGC